GGGGAGGGCCUGCGGCCAUCAGCUAGUUGGAGAGGUAACGGCUCCCCAAGGCAAUGACGGGUAGGGGGUGUGAGAGCAUGGCCCCCCACACUGGGACUGAGACACGGCCCAGGCUCCUACGGGAGGCAGCAGCAGGGAAUAUUGCGCAAUGGACGGAAGUCUGACGCAGCGACGCCGCGUGGAUGACGAAGGCCUUCGGGUUGUAAAAUCCUUUUCCGGGCGAUGAGGCAGGACACUAGCCUGGGAAUAAGCGUCGGCUAACUACGUGCCAGCAGCCGCGGUAAGACGUAGGACGCGAAGCGGUUAUCCGGAUUUACUGGGGGCGCUAAGGCGCCUUGCCAGGGCGGCUCAGCGUAAGCUCGGUUGUGAAAGCCCCGGUUGCCUUCCCAACGGCGGGGAGGCCAAGCGAUACUGCGUGACUUGAGGGCGGAAGAGGGGAGUGGAAUUCCCGGUGUAGCGGUAAAAUGCGCAGAAAUCGGGAGGAACACCAGUGGCGAAGGCGGCUCCCUGGACCGCACCUGACGCUCAGAGGCGAAAGCUAGGGGAGCGAACAGGAUUAGAGACCCUGGUAGUCCUAGCCCUAAACGCUGGAUGCUAGGUGUAGGGCUGAUGAGGCUCUGUGCCGGAGCGAACGCGAUAAGCAUCCCGCCUGGGAACUACGGCCGCAAGGCUAAAACUCAAACGAAUUGACGGGGACCCGCACAAGCAGCGGAGCGUGUGGUUUAAUUCGAUGCUACACGAAGAACCUUACCUGGGUUUGACAUGUUGGUGGUACCGAACCGAAAGGGGAGGGACCCUUCGGGGAGCCAACACAGGUGCUGCAUGGCUGUCGUCAGCUCGUGCCGUGAGGUGUCGGGUUAAGUCCCGUAACGAGCGCAACCCUUGCUCUUAGUUAUACGUGUCUAAGGGGACUGCCGGCGACAAGCCGGAGGAAGGUGGGGAUGACGUCAAGUCAGCAUGGCCUUGAUAUCCAGGGCUACACACACGCUACAAUGGCCGGUACAAAGGGCAGCCAAGCCGCGAGGUGGAGCGAAUCCCAGCAAAGCCGGUCCCAGUUCGGGUUGCAGGCUGCAACCCGCCUGCAUGAAGUUGGAGUUGCUAGUAACCGCGCGUCAGCCAUAGUGCGGUGAAUACGUACCCGGGUCUUGUACACACCGCCCGUCACGUCAUGGGAGUUGGCAACGCCUGACAGCGGUAGCCUAACCGAAAGGAAGG
RNAcentral lists this ribosomal RNA (1215 nucleotides) under uncultured organism. RNAcentral describes it as "bacterial SSU rRNA". It matches the Rfam family "Bacterial small subunit ribosomal RNA", at positions 222 to 1450 of the family's 1533-position model. The record is from RNAcentral.